GGCCUAGUGGCGAAGUCGGUCAACGCGGCGGUCUGCAAAACCGCUAUGCGCCGGUUCGAUCCCGGCCUAGGCCU
Molecule: transfer RNA, 74 nt
Filed under: Patescibacteria group bacterium
Lineage: Bacteria
Description: tRNA-Cys
Rfam family: tRNA
About the family: Transfer RNA (tRNA) molecules are approximately 80 nucleotides in length. Their secondary structure includes four short double-helical elements and three loops (D, anti-codon, and T loops).
Source: RNAcentral